CAGCCGCCGCGGUAAUACGUAGGUGGCAAGCGUUGUCCGGAUUUAUUGGGCGUAAAGCGAGCGCAGGCGGUUCCUUAAGUCUGAUGUGAAAGCCCACGGCUCAACCGUGGAAGGUCAUUGGAAACUGGGGAACUUGAGUGCAGAAGAGGAGAGUGGAAUUCCAUGUGUAGCGGUGAAAUGCGUAGAUAUAUGGAGGAACACCAGUGGCGAAGGCGACUCUCUGGUCUGUAACUGACGCUGAGGCUCGAAAGCGUGGGGAGCAAACAGGAUUAGAUACCCCGGUAGUCCCUGUCUCUUAUAC
This 301-nucleotide ribosomal RNA is filed under the name uncultured bacterium. Its description in RNAcentral is "partial 16S ribosomal RNA". It matches the Rfam family "Bacterial small subunit ribosomal RNA", at positions 509 to 807 of the family's 1533-position model. The record is from RNAcentral.